CGCGGGCGGCGGAGGCUGCUGAUGGCCUGCCGAUUUGAGCAGCAGUUCUGCGGUCCCGGGAGGGAACAAUGGGCGGAUUUCAGCCGUCCGGGCCGGGCAGCCUUCCUUUGAGGCCCCAGAGAUGCGAUAAGAGGCAAUGUCCAGGUCUUAGUCCCUGGAACCUGUGAAUAUGUUACCUUACUUGGCAAGAGGAACUUUACAGAUGGGAUUAUGUUAAGGAUCUUAAAACAAGGAGAUUAUCCUGGAUUAUCCACGUGGGCCUGGUGUCAUCACAAAGAUCCUUCUAAGUGGGAGGAAAGCUGUGCUGUGGAAGUAGGGAGGAGGAGUGAUCAUGUUCCCGCCUGGACUUCAGGACCUGGCCUGAGGACAGGUCAGAAGAGGAGGGUCUCCAUCACUAUUUUACAUUUUAAAAAAUUCUUCACAUCCCGUUAACAUUUCUCACGUACAGAGACAGCACAGUCUCUGGAGUUAGAGACAGUUUCAAGUCAUAGGUCCCCACUUAGCCGGGGUGUAACCUUGGCAAGUCACUUGGCCUGGAUGAGAUCCCACUUCAUCUGCAGAAUGUGGAAAACACCUACCCUGCAAAUCGUUGGGAAGAUAAAAAUAAUAUGUGGAAAAUAAGAAGCACUCAAAUGAUAGCUGUAUUAUUUAUAAUCAAGAAAACAGAGAGGCAGAGUGGAUUUCUCAAGUCGGGCCCCUGGUAAAUGGUGGAACCAAGACCCCGUCCUCAACCCAAGUCUUCAGUUUCUCCCCCAAAGGCCCUUCACUCCCCAGAACCUUCUGCGGCCAGGCCUGGGCCCUCCAAGGCAAAGCUUCCCCACCCG
This 824-nucleotide long non-coding RNA is filed under the name Equus caballus (horse). Its description in RNAcentral is "lncRNA (ENSECAG00000057023.1)". The record is from RNAcentral. Lineage: Eukaryota; Metazoa; Chordata; Mammalia; Perissodactyla; Equidae.